UAAAUAUUAAAUCAUCAUUUUUCACUGCUGACUUAGCAUGCCACAUCGUCAUUUUUUACCCUCACUACUGUUCAUCUUCUUCUUCCCCUCCAUGCCACCUCUUGCUUCCACCAUUCUUCUUCUUCCUUUGCUCCCUGCUUCUAGCCACUGCCCUUUACCCACUGCCAUCAUCAUCAUCAUGCUGAAAGAGAGAGGAGAGUUGAAACUUCUUUUACCUCCAGUCGUCCACAGGAGAAGCAACUUCCCAGUUCUGAGCUAUGAAUAUGUUAUGGCAGCUGAGACAUUCAUGGAUGAUUAUAAUUUUGAUCAUACAAGUCAUUUGAUUAAGUCUUUACACUGCCGAAGCCGAGCCUCGUCAGAUUCUGUUGGAUACCGAUGUCGAUACCGACGAUUUCUUUGCUCUUUUCUUUCUGUUGAAGCUUAACAGAUCAGAGUUUCAUUUAGAGGGAAUCACUAUCAAUACAAAUGCAUGGACUGAUGCUGGUCAUGCAGUGGACCAAAUUUAUGACAUACUUUAUAUGAUGGACCGUGAUGAUAUACUUGUUGGAUUAGGAGGAGAAGGUGGAUCAUGGAAUACGAUACCAUACAACCAAAUAUUGGCGGAUAUCUUUUGCGGGAAAAUUAGUGUACCACUUUUUUUCAACGGUGGUUUAUAUUUUUCAUUUUUUCAAGGUUUUCCAGUUUUCAACUCUCCUCUCUCUUUCAACAUGAUGAUGACGAUGGCAGAGGGUAAAGGAAGAGACGGUGGAAUCGCUAGAAGCAGGGAGCAAAAGAAGAAGGGGGUGGAAGCAAAAGGUGGCAUGAAGGGGAAGAAGAUGAUGAACAAUAGUGAGGGUAAAAAGAAAGGGUCAAAAUUGAUGAUGUGGUAUGCCCAAUCAGCCAACGAUAGGGAUUUAACAUUUCCAUGACUAAAAUGAAAAACCUCCUAAACAGUAGUGAUCAAAUUGUAACUAUUUUUAUUUAUGUGGCUAAAAUGAAAGUACUCAAAAA
This is a long non-coding RNA of Gossypium raimondii (Peruvian cotton), 990 nucleotides long. RefSeq lists it as uncharacterized. The transcript is spliced from 3 exons. Lineage: Eukaryota; Viridiplantae; Streptophyta; Magnoliopsida; Malvales; Malvaceae. The record is from RefSeq and is a predicted model, not a curated record.